Molecule: transfer RNA, 79 nt
Filed under: Ceraceosorus bombacis
Lineage: Eukaryota; Fungi; Basidiomycota; Exobasidiomycetes; Ceraceosorales; Ceraceosoraceae
Rfam family: tRNA
About the family: Transfer RNA (tRNA) molecules are approximately 80 nucleotides in length. Their secondary structure includes four short double-helical elements and three loops (D, anti-codon, and T loops).
Source: Rfam by way of RNAcentral
GGCUACUUGGCGCAAUGGUAGCGCAUCGUGUUUCUACUUUAUGCCGCGAGGGUUGCGGGUUCGAGUCCCGUGGUGGCCU